CUGGUUGAUCCUGCCGGAGGCCAUUGCUAUCAGGGUUUGACUAAGCCAUGCGAGUCGAGAGGUGUAAGACCUCGGCAUACUGCUCAGUAACACGUGGUUAACCUGCCCUAAGGUGGGGCAUAACCCCGGGAAACUGGGGAUAAUACCCCAUAGGUUAGAGAUGCUGGAAUGCCCUUUAACCCAAAGCUCCGGCGCCUUAGGAUGGAUCUGCGGCCGAUUAGGUAGUUGUUGGGGUAACGGCCCAACAAGCCUGUAAUCGGUACGGGUUGUGGGAGCAAGAGCCCGGAGAUGGACUCUGAGACACGAGUCCAGGCCCUACGGGGCGCAGCAGGCGCGAAAACUUUACAAUGCAGGAAACUGUGAUAAGGGAACCCCGAGUGCCCGUAUACGCGGGCUGUCCAGGUGUAUAAAAAGCAUUUGAAGAAAGGGCCGGGCAAGACCGGUGCCAGCCGCCGCGGUAAUACCNGGCGGCUCGAGUGGUGGCCACUUUUAUGUGGCUUAAAGGUUCGUAAGCUGGGGUGUUAAGUCUCUUGGGAAUCUCACGGCUCAACCGUGAGGCGUCUAAGGGAUACUGGCAACCUANGGACCGGGAANAGGUGAGAGGACUCANGGGGGUAGGAGUGAAUCCUGUAAUCCUGGGGGACACCUGUGGCGAGGCGUCUCACCAGACGGUCCCACAGUGAGGACGAAAGCUGGGGAGCAA
This 703-nucleotide ribosomal RNA is filed under the name uncultured archaeon. RNAcentral's name for it is "bacterial SSU rRNA". It matches the Rfam family "Archaeal small subunit ribosomal RNA", at positions 4 to 722 of the family's 1478-position model. The record is from RNAcentral.